This 199-nucleotide ribosomal RNA is filed under the name uncultured bacterium. Its description in RNAcentral is "partial 16S ribosomal RNA". It matches the Rfam family "Bacterial small subunit ribosomal RNA", at positions 335 to 524 of the family's 1533-position model. The record is from RNAcentral.
ACUCCUACGGGAGGCAGCAGUGGGGAAUCUUGCGCAAUGGGCGAAAAGCCUGACGCAGCGACGCCGCGUGGGUGACGAAGGCCUUCGGGUUGUAAAGCCCUGUGGGGGGAGACGAACCGGGUCGUGGCUAAUAUCCAUGGUCCUUGACGGUAUCCCUUUAGCAAGCAUCGGCUAACUCUGUGCCAGCAGCCGCAGUAAU